RNAcentral lists this ribosomal RNA (482 nucleotides) under uncultured bacterium. Its description in RNAcentral is "partial 16S ribosomal RNA". It matches the Rfam family "Bacterial small subunit ribosomal RNA", at positions 29 to 507 of the family's 1533-position model. The record is from RNAcentral.
AUUGAACGCUGGCGGCAUGCUUUACACAUGCAAGUCGAACGGUAACAGGCCGCAAGGUGCUGACGAGUGGCGAACGGGUGAGUAAUGCAUCGGAACGUGCCCAGUCGUGGGGGAUAACUACUCGAAAGAGUAGCUAAUACCGCAUACGAUCUAUGGAUGAAAGCGGGGGACCGUAAGGCCUCGCGCGAUUGGAGCGGCCGGUGUCAGAUUAGGUAGUUGGUGGGGUAAAGGCUCACCAAGCCAACGAUCUGUAGCUGGUCUGAGAGGACGACCAGCCACACGGGGAAGGAGACACGGCCCAGACCCCUACGGGAGGAAGAAGGGGGGAAUUGGGAAAAAUGGGCGAAAGCCUGACCCAGCAAGGCCGCGUGAGGGAAGAAGGCUUGCGGUUUGUAAACUGUUUUUGUAAGAAAAGAAACGGCUUGGGUAAAACCCGGGGGAUAAGGACGGUACCGAAAAAAAAAGCCCGGGCUAACUACGUG